Molecule: ribosomal RNA, 448 nt
Filed under: uncultured bacterium
Lineage: Bacteria
Description: bacterial SSU rRNA
Rfam family: Bacterial small subunit ribosomal RNA
Source: RNAcentral
UUUCCAGACUCCUACGGGAGGCAGCAGUGGGGAAUAUUGCACAAUGGGGGAAACCCUGAUGCAGCGACGCCGCGUGAGUGAAGAAGUAUUUCGGUAUGUAAAGCUCUAUCAGCAGGGAAGAAAAUGACGGUACCUGACUAAGAAGCCCCGGCUAACUACGUGCCAGCAGCCGCGGUAAUACGUAGGGGGCAAGCGUUAUCCGGAAUUACUGGGUGUAAAGGGAGCGCAGACGGCAGUGCAAGUCUGGAGUGAAAGCCCGUGGCUUAACUACGGGACUGCUCUGGAAACUGUGCAGCUAGAGUGCAGGAGAGGCAGGCGGAAUUCCUAGUGUAGCGGUGAAAUGCGUAGAUAUUAGGAGGAACACCAGUGGCGAAGGCGGCUUGCUGGACAGAGACUGACGUUGAGGCUCGAAAGCGUGGGGAGCAAACAGGAUUAGAUACCCCGGUAA